Molecule: ribosomal RNA, 233 nt
Filed under: Proteus mirabilis
Lineage: Bacteria; Pseudomonadati; Pseudomonadota; Gammaproteobacteria; Enterobacterales; Morganellaceae
Description: partial 16S ribosomal RNA
Rfam family: Bacterial small subunit ribosomal RNA
Source: RNAcentral
UGGGCGUAAGCGCACGCAGGCGGUCAAUUAAGUCAGGAUGUGAAAGCCCCGAGCUUAACUUGGGAAUUGCAUCUGAAACUGGUUGGCUAGAGUCUUGUAGAGGGGGGUAGAAUUCCAUGUGUAGCGGUGAAAUGCGUAGAGAUGUGGAGGAAUACCGGUGGCGAAGGCGGCCCCCUGGACAAAGACUGACGCUCAGGUGCGAAAGCGUGGGGAGCAAACAGGAUUAGAUACCC